CUUGAAACACGGACCAAGGAGUUUAUUGUAUGUGCGAGUCAUUAAGUGAUCAAAACUUAUUGGCGUAAUGAAAGUAAACCCUGGGUGCAGGGGCUGCGGUGGGAACUCUCUGUGGGGAGGGCACCAUCGACCGAUCGCCCUAUCUAAAUCAUUUAUGAUUGAGUAGAGAUAGAGUAUACAUAAUGCGACCCGAAAGAUGGUGAACUAUGCCUGAGCAGGAUGAAGUCAGAGGAAACUCUGAUGGAAGUCCGAAGCGGUUCUGACGUGCAAAUCGAUCGUCUGACUUGGGUAUAGGGGCGAAAGACUAAUCGAACCAUC
RNAcentral lists this ribosomal RNA (318 nucleotides) under Panagrolaimus sp. JB115. RNAcentral's name for it is "eukaryotic LSU rRNA". It matches the Rfam family "Eukaryotic large subunit ribosomal RNA", at positions 653 to 944 of the family's 3401-position model. The record is from RNAcentral. Lineage: Eukaryota; Metazoa; Nematoda; Chromadorea; Rhabditida; Panagrolaimidae.